Molecule: non-coding RNA, 73 nt
Organism: Planoprotostelium fungivorum
Lineage: Eukaryota; Evosea; Variosea; Cavosteliida; Cavosteliaceae
Source: the annotation of a GenBank genome assembly
GCCCUGUUAGCUCAGUUGGAAGAGCGAUAGCCUUCUAAGCUAUAGGUCUUGGGUUCGAGCCCCAAAUAGGGCG